GCAACUUUCGGCAGCACAUAUACUAAAAUUGGAACGAUACAGAGAAGAUUAGCAUGGCCCCUGCACAAAUAAUUGGCAACUGAUGAGUUUCUUAAUACAGUU
Small nuclear RNA from Mirounga angustirostris (Northern elephant seal), 102 nucleotides. The record is from RefSeq and is a predicted model, not a curated record. Lineage: Eukaryota; Metazoa; Chordata; Mammalia; Carnivora; Phocidae.